UGGCUUGUAGCUCAGGUGGUUAGAGCGCACCCCUGAUAAGGGUGAGGUCGGUGGUUCAAGUCCACUCAGGCCUACCA
This 77-nucleotide transfer RNA is filed under the name Escherichia coli. RNAcentral's name for it is "tRNA-Ile". It matches the Rfam family "tRNA". From Rfam's summary of the family: Transfer RNA (tRNA) molecules are approximately 80 nucleotides in length. Their secondary structure includes four short double-helical elements and three loops (D, anti-codon, and T loops). Further hydrogen bonds mediate the characteristic L-shaped molecular structure. tRNAs have two regions of fundamental functional importance: the anti-codon, which is responsible for specific mRNA codon recognition, and the 3' end, to which the tRNAs corresponding amino acid is attached (by aminoacyl-tRNA synthetases). tRNAs cope with the degeneracy of the genetic code in two manners: having more than one tRNA (with a specific anti-codon) for a particular amino acid; and 'wobble' base-pairing, i.e. permitting non-standard base-pairing at the 3rd anti-codon position. The record is from RNAcentral. Lineage: Bacteria; Pseudomonadati; Pseudomonadota; Gammaproteobacteria; Enterobacterales; Enterobacteriaceae.